Molecule: transfer RNA, 123 nt
Filed under: Knufia peltigerae
Lineage: Eukaryota; Fungi; Ascomycota; Eurotiomycetes; Chaetothyriales; Trichomeriaceae
Description: tRNA-His
Rfam family: tRNA
About the family: Transfer RNA (tRNA) molecules are approximately 80 nucleotides in length.
Source: RNAcentral
GGUGGCGUGGUGUAAUGGUCAGCAUGUAUCGUUGUGGUUAUUCAUCGUACAGCUCUUCUUUGGCCGUAUAUCAUGGUGUUUCCCAGCUCCGAUCCGAUCCCGGUUCGAUUCCGGGCGCCGCCA